Non-coding RNA from Macaca mulatta (Rhesus monkey), 3273 nucleotides. Lineage: Eukaryota; Metazoa; Chordata; Mammalia; Primates; Cercopithecidae. The record is from RefSeq and is a predicted model, not a curated record.
GAGGGAAAAGGAGCAGAAAAGUAGCUUGUCUUUUAUUUUUAUUUGCCUUCUUUUUUUUCCCUUCCUCCAGAUAUCCCCCUGGGGCACCGGCCUAGAACAGAGCAACAAAUAUUUACUAAUUCCAUUAACAGAAGAGAGUUGGAAUUUUUUUUUCCCAAGCGAAUAUCCGAGGCCCCAAGUUCAUGUAGUGACCCAAAGUGACACUUUGGUUCACCAAGACGAAGACGCGUCCUUCCUCUCUCUAUGGAUCUUUCAGCCAGAUGUUGAACCCUGACACCAUGAUCACAGGAGUGACCUGCCUCUGAUGUGUUAGCUGCUGAGAGUCUACACUGACAAUGCUGUUGUACUGUAGAUCCCUGGUGUGUGCGCUUCAAGAAACUAAUAGGAGCCAUGAACCUCCUACCCCCAUAGCUAAAUGCCCACACACAACACUUUUCAUACAAUUCCUUGGAUGUAGUCUUGGGAGCUCUUCUCUGAGUUCUGGUGUAAGAUUCUCUUAUUUACUGAUCAGCUUGGGGACACCCCUGGAUAUUCCCAUGGGUGACUACUUCAACUCACAGAUGGAGAAACUGAGAUCUCAGGGCAGAAGAACUCCCCAAGUCCCAGGGAUACUUAGGGCUGGAGCCAGGGUUUGGGUGCUAUCUAUGCCUUCUCACUAUGCCUGUGGCUCACUGCUUCUUCUCACUACCCUCUUCUUUCUCUGAAAGCUUAAGACAGUUCUGAGUAGACAUAGGCAGUCUGGGAGAACCCAAAGGGUAGAGAAUAAAGGAUCCUGCACCAAUCUCGUAGGUUUGAAUCCAAGCUCCACCACUUACCCAAAGCCUUGGGUGAGACAUUGAACCUUUCUGUUUCUCAAUUUUCUCAUCAGUAAAAUGGGGAUUAUAUUAGCAUCUACCUCACAGAGUUAGAGUGAGGAUUAAAAUAGUACCCACAUAAAGUUUUGAAAGAGUACCUAGCACACAGUACACAUUCAAUGAAUAGUUAUUACUAUUAUCAUAAUUAUCAAGAUUAUUAUUAGAUGUAGAGGGAAAAACGCCUCUUGUGAUGUGGCAUAGACUCCACAGACAGGCUCAUAUGUGCCCUCUCCCACUCCAACUCAGCCAAGAAACAUUUCACUCCAGGCACAAACUGAUUUUGGUGUUGGGAUAGUAGAAUUCAGAGGUGCCUGGAGCUUAACUGGCUUAAUCCCAUAACUUUUAGGCAGAGAAACAAACAUGAAGAGAAAUCAAGAGAUUUUUCUGAAGCUCCCAGAGCUCUUUAGAAGCACAACCAGGUCUCCAUAACUUUCAACCUGGAGCUGGGACUCCAUUCAAUAGAGCACCCUCUCCUCCCACUACUUCAGGCUCAUCUCCCUCAAAAUGUAGUUCUGAAAAGAAGCCACUGGCUCUGUGACACUAAAGGGGUUAACUCAGAACCCUGCAGCUGGCUGCAGUGCACAUCCUCAGCUCUGAUUUUCAUUUGCAAAACAAACAAACAAGAGGUUCUCUAAUAACUCCCAGACCUCCUUCUUUGUGGCUGAGAUGUGGAUUUUGUAAGAAGCAAGGCUUCCAAAGAUCCCUAAUUCCUAUGCUGUUGUUGACAAAGAACUAAAGGCUGUUUCAUGGCUAGUGAAAGCUUCACAUGCUCAUUCAUUCAUUCAAAUUCAUUCAUUCACCAAAUGAUUACUGAAGACCUACCUUAUGCCUUCAGACAUGGAUACAGCCACCCUCCCAGCCCUCAUAGAACGGAUGGUAUUCUUACAGUGUUUUCAGAGCUGCACCAACAGAGAGGCUAGCAUGGGAUAGGAACAUGGAGGUAUCCAGCAAAUAAAUGCCAGUCCAAGAGGAACACGGGAUCAUUUGGUUCAAUGGAAGUCCAGUUCCCCAGGUUGAAUUUCUAGUUUGUUGCCUGGUUCAAAAUCACAUUGGUACCCCAGAUUGGCCAUUCUUCUCAUCCUCCCUUCCUUUUCCUCUUUUUCAUUCUUCCUCUUCUUCAUGUUGUCUACCAUGAGCUGAAAAAUAAAUCAGUAUGAUAUAUUGGGAGCCCCCUUUUUCUAGAUGGACAGUGGAGGACAGAGAAAACAGUCUAUGCAGCCAAAGCUUCACAGGUAGUAAGUGGGGAAACAGGGUUUGAACCAAAGUCUAUAGGCCUUCAGAUCCUAGGCUCUUCUCUUCUGGUUUAUAUGUGUCAUUUCCUUCCAUUUGUCAAAUAAAAGAUAGAAUAAGGGAGGUUUAAGGCUCACCAUGAGUUUCCACAACAGCUAAUAUUUGGAGGAAUUGCAAAUUCUGGAAUGACAUCCACUUUAAGCUGCAAGGUAAAUGUUCUUUAGAAACAUACCUGAGGGAUUGGGAAAAGCAGGUGGGAGAAAUGCUAGCUAUAUCCGUACAUGGUAGAAGGGGUGAGAAAGGUCUCCGGAGCACUACUGAGAGGGGCGCUAAUCUCAUUCAUAAGGGUUCCACCCUUAUGACCUAAUCACCUCUCAAGGCCCUCUUUUCAAAUAGCAUCACACCGGGGAUUCAGUUUCAACAUAGGAAUUUUUUGGGGGGUUGGGGGGACACAAGCAUUCAGUCUAUAGCAUCAACCAAAGCUUUAUCUUCUCAAAUAGAUAUUUUCUUAUGUAAUCAGGUUGAAUUUGAUGAGCACCUCCCUGUGUCCAUUGAGUCUUAUGGGAAGCAGAUGCUAAAAUGGAGUGAGAAAUGCAAGACAUGUCUUAGGGGGUAAUGCCUGUGAAAGAUAAAGGCACAGGAAACAGGAGUAAAAAGAGCCUCAGAUCACAUUGAAGAUCCAACAAAGUCUCAACCAACUUAAUGAGGAGCUCCUCCAGAGCUGAGAUUUCCUGUUAGAGGAGUCCUGCACUGGGCAGAACUGGCCAGGCUCUGGUACUUCUCCCAUGCUCAGUGUUUGGCUGGGGGCUCCCAAGGAAAGAUGUGGCUUUGAUUUAAAAGCUGAAGUAGAUCUCAAAGGUACUGCAGCUGAGGGCUGUCCACUAACUACACUCCUUGCAGCUGAAUGGCAAGUUAUUUCUUGAAAGGAGACCUGAGUGUCACGUCUUCAUGGUUACCAUACCCUUUUAUACCUACUAUAUAUGAAACACUGUAUUAGGUCCUGGAACGGGAGAAGGAAGAUAAUACUUAAUUCCUGCCUUAAGAGAACCCACAGGCUGGGUGCGGUGUUUCACACCUGUAAUCCCAGCACUUUGGGAGUCCAACACAGGCAGAUCAUAACGUCAAGAGAUGGAAACCAUCCUGGCCAAAACGGUGAAACCCCAUCUCCACUAAAAAUACAAAAAUUAGC